UACAGAGGUCUCAAGCGUUGUUCGGAUUCAUUGGGCGUAAAGGGCGCGUAGGCGGCCUGGCAAGUGGAAGGUGAAAUCCCUCGGCUUAACCGAGGAACUGCCCUCCAAACUGCUUGGCUUGAGUCCGGGAGAGGUGAGUGGAAUUCCGAGUGUAGAGGUGAAAUUCGUAGAUAUUCGGAAGAACACCAGUGGCGAAGGCGGCUCACUGGCCCGUUACUGACGCUCAGGCGCGACAGCGUGGGGAGCAAACAGG
Molecule: ribosomal RNA, 253 nt
Filed under: uncultured bacterium
Lineage: Bacteria
Description: partial 16S ribosomal RNA
Rfam family: Bacterial small subunit ribosomal RNA
Source: RNAcentral